UAAAAGUCGUAACAAGGUCUCCGUUGGUGAACCAGCGGAGGGAUCAUUACUGAGUUUACGCUCUACAACCCUUUGUGAACAUACCUACAACUGUUGCUUCGGCGGGUAGGGUCUCCGCGACCCUCCCGGCCUCCCGCCUCCGGGCGGGUCGGCGCCCGCCGGAGGAUAACCAAACUCUGAUUUAACGACGUUUCUUCUGAGUGGUACAAGCAAAUAAUCAAAACUUUUAACAACGGAUCUCUUGGUUCUGGCAUCGAUGAAGAACGCAGCGAAAUGCGAUAAGUAAUGUGAAUUGCAGAAUUCAGUGAAUCAUCGAAUCUUUGAACGCACAUUGCGCCCGCCAGCAUUCUGGCGGGCAUGCCUGUUCGAGCGUCAUUUCAACCCUCAAGCUCUGCUUGGUGUUGGGGCCCUACAGCCGAUGUAGGCCCUCAAAGGUAGUGGCGGACCCUCCCGGAGCCUCCUUUGCGUAGUAACUUUACGUCUCGCACUGGGAUCCGGAGGGACUCUUGCCGUAAAACCCCCCAUUUUCCAAGGUUGACCUCGGAUCAGGUAGGAAUACCCGCUGAACUUAAGC
Molecule: ribosomal RNA, 574 nt
Filed under: Colletotrichum gloeosporioides
Lineage: Eukaryota; Fungi; Ascomycota; Sordariomycetes; Glomerellales; Glomerellaceae
Description: eukaryotic LSU rRNA
Rfam family: 5.8S ribosomal RNA (bases 222-375)
Source: RNAcentral